Molecule: ribosomal RNA, 426 nt
Filed under: Triticum aestivum (bread wheat)
Lineage: Eukaryota; Viridiplantae; Streptophyta; Magnoliopsida; Poales; Poaceae
Description: partial small subunit ribosomal RNA
Source: RNAcentral
AUGCAGAUACUGGAAGGGUUCGGGGACGCCACACAACUGCACUGCAAUCCUCAGAAAUCAACAGUAGCGGCACUCAACUGCGACAACUUAGAUAUCAUGGACGUCCUGGGAAACUUCGGUGGCAAUAGAGUAGACUUCCCGAUCAGAUACCUAGGUCUUCCCCUCUGUGCAGGCAAGCUACGGCUAGCCCACAUUCAGUUCCUCCUUGAUCGCGUUCACGCACGGCUGGCGGCAUGCAAGGGUCGGCUCAUAGCAAUCACAGGGCGGCGGGUGCUCGUUCGGUGCGUGCUGUCAGCACUGCCCGCCUUCGCGAUGGCCGUCCUGCGCAUCCCAAAGAAAUUCUUCAAAGACGUGGACAAGGCUAGACGACGCUUUCUAUGGGCACAAGAUGAGGAGAUCACCGGCGGGAAGUGCAAAGUUAACUAG